This 1481-nucleotide ribosomal RNA is filed under the name metagenome. RNAcentral describes it as "bacterial SSU rRNA". It matches the Rfam family "Bacterial small subunit ribosomal RNA". The record is from RNAcentral.
AGAGUUUGAUCCUGGCUCAGAAUGAACGCUGGCGGCGUGCCUAACACAUGCAAGUCGAACGAGAAAGCUGGUUUAGGCUGGUGAGUAAAGUGGCGAACGGGUGAGUAACGCGUGGGUGAUCUACCCUUGAGUGGGGGAUAACCCGGGGAAACCCGGGCUAAUACCGCAUAAGCCCUGGAUCGUAAAGAGAGAGGGGAAAGCUUUAGGGUGCUGAAGGAGGAGCCCGCGUCCGAUUAGCUAGUUGGUGAGGUAAGGGCUCACCAAGGCGACGAUUGGUAGCCGGUCUGAGAGGACGGACGGCCACACUGGGACUGAGACACGGCCCAGACUCCUACGGGAGGCAGCAGUGGGGAAUUUUGGGCAAUGGGGGCAACCCUGACCCAGCAACGCCGCGUGGAGGACGAAGGUUUUCGGAUCGUAAACUCCUGUCCGGAGGGACGAAGCAAGUGACGGUACCUCUGGAGGAAGCCCCGGCUAACUCCGUGCCAGCAGCCGCGGUAAUACGGGGGGGGCAAGCGUUUUUCGGAAUUACUGGGCGUAAAGGGCGCGUAGGCGGCUUCGGAAGUCAUGGGUGAAAGCCCCGAGCUCAACUCGGGAACUGCCUGUGAAACCACGGGGCUGGAGUGCUGGAGAGGGAAGUGGAAUUCCCAGUGUAGCGGUGAAAUGCGUAGAUAUUGGGAGGAACAUCUGUGGCGAAGGCGGCUUCCUGGACAGACACUGACGCUGAGGCGCGAAAGCCAGGGGAGCGAACGGGAUUAGAUACCCCGGUAGUCCUGGCUGUAAACGAUGAACACUUGGUGUGGGGGGUAGGAAAGUCCCUCCGUGCCGGAGACAACUCAUUAAGUGUUCCGCCUGGGGAGUACGGCCGCAAGGCUGAAACUCAAAGGAAUUGACGGGGGCCCGCACAAGCGGUGGAGCAUGUGGUUUAAUUCGACGCAACGCGAAGAACCUUACCGGGGUUUGAACUGUUCGGGCGACCUGCAGAGAUGUAGGGUUCCUUUCGGGGACUCGAGCAGAGGUGCUGCAUGGCUGUCGUCAGCUCGUGUCGUGAGAUGUUGGGUUAAGUCCCGCAACGAGCGCAACCCUUGUCUGUAGUUGCCAUCAGGUCAAGCUGGGCACUCUACGGAGACUGUCGGCGAAAAGCCGGAGGAAGGUGGGGAUGACGUCAAGUCCUCAUGGCCUUUAUGUCCCGGGCUACACACGUGCUACAAUGGGUGGUACAGAGGGCAGCGAACUCGUGAGAGUCAGCGAAUCCCAGAAAACCACCCUCAGUUCGGAUUGCAGUCUGCAACUCGACUGCAUGAAGUUGGAAUCGCUAGUAAUCGCGGAUCAGAACGCCGCGGUGAAUACGUUCCCGGGCCUUGUACACACCGCCCGUCACAUCACGAAAGUGGGCUGUACUAGAAGCCGCCGGCCUAACCCUUCGGGGAAGGAGGCGUCGACGGUAUGGCUCAUGAUUGGGGUGAAGUCGUAACAAGGUA